AAAUUUGAGAGAGAAUCGGCAGGAGAGAGAAGGGAGAAAGAAGAAGAAGAGAAAAGAGGGAAAUUAGAAGGGAAAUAGAAAGGAAUUGAAGGGAAUAAGUUUAAAGAUAAUCCUGAUAUUCUACCGGCGGAACGUCAGUAGGAUUUUCUUCGAUAUCAGCUUUGAGUUUUGUUGCUUUCGAGUCAGGCUUAUAGCUUGAUAGCAGGUCAUUUUGUUGGACCUUCAGAACCUGCUUUUUGGUUGUACUUUGUACCUUUUCUUUGUGUCUAGUUAGUGCUCCAAAACUCUGAACUUAUAUAAACUCUUGUA
This is a long non-coding RNA of Populus nigra (black poplar), 309 nucleotides long. RefSeq lists it as uncharacterized. The transcript is spliced from 3 exons. Lineage: Eukaryota; Viridiplantae; Streptophyta; Magnoliopsida; Malpighiales; Salicaceae. The record is from RefSeq and is a predicted model, not a curated record.